AUUGAACGCUGGCGGCAGGCCUAACACAUGCAAGUCGAACGGUAACAGGAAGAAGCUUGCUUCUUUGCUGACGAGUGGCGGACGGGUGAGUAAUGUCUGGGAAACUGCCUGAUGGAGGGGGAUAACUACUGGAAACGGUAGCUAAUACCGCAUAAUGUCGCAAGACCAAAGAGGGGGACCUUCGGGCCUCUUGCCAUCGGAUGUGCCCAGAUGGGAUUAGCUAGUAGGUGGGGUAACGGCUCACCUAGGCGACGAUCCCUAGCUGGUCUGAGAGGAUGACCAGCCACACUGGAACUGAGACACGGUCCAGACUCCUACGGGAGGCAGCAGUGGGGAAUAUUGCACAAUGGGCGCAAGCCUGAUGCAGCUAUGCCGCGUGUAUGAAGAAGGCCUUCGGGUUGUAAAGUACUUUCAGCGGAGAGGAAGGGAGUAAAGUUAAUACCUUGGCUCAUUGACGUUACCCGCAGAAGAAGCACCGGCUAACUCCGUG
Molecule: ribosomal RNA, 490 nt
Filed under: uncultured bacterium
Lineage: Bacteria
Description: partial 16S ribosomal RNA
Rfam family: Bacterial small subunit ribosomal RNA
Source: RNAcentral